CCUACGGGAGGCAGCAGUGGGGAAUAUUGCGCAAUGGACGAAAGUCUGACGCAGCGACGCCGCGUGUGGGAUGAAGCUCUUCGGGGUGUAAACCACUGUUGCCCGGGAAGAAACUCCUGAUUCGUCAGGACUGACGGUACCGGGUGAGGAAGCACCGGCUAACUCUGUGCCAGCAGCCGCGGUAAUACAGAGGGUGCGAGCGUUGUCCGGAAUCACUGGGCGUAAAGGGCGCGUAGGUGGCGGGAUAAGUGUGUGGUGAAAGCUCGGGGCUCAACCCCGAGUCUGCCAUGCAGACUGUCUUGCUCGAGCGUAGUAGAGGCAGGUGGAAUUCCGGGUGUAGCGGUGGAAUGCGUAGAGAUCCGGAAGAACACCGGUGGCGAAGGCGGCCUGCUGGGCUACUGCUGACACUGAGGCGCGACAGCGUGGGGAGCAAACAGGAUUAGAUACCCUGGUAGUCCACGCCGUAAACGAUGGGUACUAGGUGUCUGGGGGAACGCCCCCUGGGUGCCGACGCUAACGCANGAGACCGCCGNGGGAGGUACGGCCGCGAGCGNGAACGUACGAAGAAGUAGACGGCGUGAGACGUGCCGACGGACGACGACGAGGGAGGAGG
Molecule: ribosomal RNA, 613 nt
Filed under: uncultured bacterium
Lineage: Bacteria
Description: bacterial SSU rRNA
Rfam family: Bacterial small subunit ribosomal RNA (bases 1-531)
Source: RNAcentral